UACGUAGGGGGCGAGCGUUGUCCGGAUUCAUUGGGCGUAAAGAGCGUGUAGGCGGCCAGGUAGGUCGGUUGUGAAAACUGGAGGCUCAACCUUCAGAGGUCGACCGAAACCAUCUGGCUAGAGUCCGGGAGAGGAGAGUGGAAUUCCUGGUGUAGAGGUGAAAUUCGUAGAUAUCAAGCGGAACACCGGUGGCGAAGGCGGCCUUCUGGACAGUGACUGACGCUGAGACGCGAAAGCGUGGGGAGCAAACAGG
This 253-nucleotide ribosomal RNA is filed under the name uncultured bacterium. Its description in RNAcentral is "partial 16S ribosomal RNA". It matches the Rfam family "Bacterial small subunit ribosomal RNA", at positions 524 to 776 of the family's 1533-position model. The record is from RNAcentral.